Molecule: ribosomal RNA, 434 nt
Filed under: uncultured Lachnospiraceae bacterium
Lineage: Bacteria; Bacillati; Bacillota; Clostridia; Lachnospirales; Lachnospiraceae
Description: partial 16S ribosomal RNA
Rfam family: Bacterial small subunit ribosomal RNA
Source: RNAcentral
ACGGAAGGCAGCAGUGGGGAAUAUUGGACAAUGGGGGAAACCCUGAUCCAGCGACGCCGCGUGAGUGAAGAAGUAUUUCGGUAUGUAAAGCUCUUUAAGCAGGAAAGAAAAUGACGGUACCUGCAGAAUAAGCCCCGGCUAACUACGUGCCAGCAGCCGCGGUAAUACGUAGGGGGCAAGCGUUAUCCGGAUUUACUGGGUGUAAAGGGAGCGUAGACGGCUUUGCAAGUCUGAAGUGAAAGCCCGGGGCUCAACCCCGGAACUGCUUUGGAAACUGUAGAGCUAGAGUGCAGGAGAGGUAAGUGGAAUUCCUAGUGUAGCGGUGAAAUGCGUAGAUAUUAGGAGGAACACCAGUGGCGAAGGCGGCUUACUGGACUGUAACUGACGUUGAGGCUCGAAGGCGUGGGGAGCAAACAGGAUUAGAUACCCUGGUA